GACCCGAUUUUCGAAAAAGGCUCGGGAUUUGACCCGGGUUGUUUCAUAUGGUAUCAGAGCAGGCUCUCGAAAGCUUGUUUCGUCAAGUUGCCGGAGGUGGGGACACGAAGGCUGGUGGUAUUAUCCCGCAAUGGACAGAGAUCUGGAGGCGGGGACACGAAGCCAGCCGGUAUUAUCCCACAAUGGCCAGAGAGGUUCGAUCUGGGCCUACUACCAAUUGCACCAACAAAUCAUGAUGUUUUGGGGGACUGUGGUGGGCUUGUGGAUUACCCAAGUUGUUGCAAUUGGG
RNAcentral lists this long non-coding RNA (289 nucleotides) under Daucus carota (carrot). RNAcentral describes it as "long non-coding RNA (DCAR_LNC005716)". Lineage: Eukaryota; Viridiplantae; Streptophyta; Magnoliopsida; Apiales; Apiaceae. The record is from RNAcentral.